RNAcentral lists this long non-coding RNA (867 nucleotides) under Zea mays. RNAcentral describes it as "drought responsive lncRNA". The record is from RNAcentral. Lineage: Eukaryota; Viridiplantae; Streptophyta; Magnoliopsida; Poales; Poaceae.
CCGUCGUCAUUCCGUGCGUCGUCAAGAAAUCCCAAGAGUCGGGUGAAGAUGGAGCCAACAACAUAGUGUUCACCAAGUGCACGGCAGGAAGCUCGAGCCAGGAUUUAUCAGCAUUCGUACGAGUAUUGAGUAGCGUUUGAUGCUGGUGAGCCGAUUUAUAAUUUUUGUAAGUUUAUCUGAUGAUUGGAUUAACUAGAAUUAUUAGUCGUAAUAAUCCUCGUAUUUAGCGCAGGCGCGUUGUGGUAGUGUUAAAAAUAAGUGAAGUACGAUGGGUUUAGUAAUACGAAAGGUAGAUUAAUUUAGGGAUAUCUAAGCGAGGUGGCGACGUAAAGGAUAGAUUUAGUAUUUCAUAUAGCUAUCUGAUGAAUUUUAUCAUUGUCAAUUGCACUAAAUAAAUAAUAUAAAGAAAUGUUUGAUUAUUUAUGGACAUGUAAAAUAUGUGAGGAGUGAAAUAAAAUUUAAAUAGUUCUUUAUGAGCGAUGUAGUAUAAUUUAUAAAGCAAGGGAUAAAGUUAGUAUUUAAUUAAUUAGCUGGUGAGUUGUGUAGGCUAAUUAUAUUUAAUGUGUAUAGUUUGUUGUUUGUGAUGUUUGUGAUAGGUUCGAGAAGCGUAAUUAUUACGCUUAGUCAUACGCUGAUAACUAGUGUUUUCGAAUAAAACGGUACAACCCCUCGCCGCUAGGUGUUUUAUUCGCUAUCGCGUAGCACUAUUUAGGUGUGUGAUCUUCUUGUCGAUAUGCAUUCAUGUGCAUAAUGCAUUUCAUUCAGGUACGUUAAUUAAUCGCGUGAUGCGGAAGACAAGCCAAGUCGAUCCCAAGUGCGGGCUAACCCGCGGGAUGAUGCAGAUGGAUAACCCGAUCAAGUACCAGG